This 204-nucleotide long non-coding RNA is filed under the name Trifolium pratense (red clover). Its description in RNAcentral is "long non-coding RNA (TPRA_LNC004539)". The record is from RNAcentral. Lineage: Eukaryota; Viridiplantae; Streptophyta; Magnoliopsida; Fabales; Fabaceae.
UUUGAGUUAAGUUUGGGUGGUUUAUGCAACUGAAGUCAAUUUGGAAGUUUAAUAGCUAACUAUUGUUUGAUUAGUUUAUGGGCUCCGUAUUAUUAUUUGUUCAGUGGAGGAUUAUUCUUUUUCUUGCUUUUCGGUAAAAGCAAUUUGCAAGAUAGAUUAAUUUGGCAAAAUCGUUUGACAUUUGAAAGCUCGUUGGAAUGUUAA